GUUCUCCAUUACCCUGCACUCGCCUUACUCAUGUUGCAGUCUGAGGCACGCAGUUCCAGUUUGUUUUUAACCAUAUCUGUUUUUGGAUGCAUUUGAUUGCUUUUUUCCCACCUGUUUGUGUCAUAUCUCCCUCACCAGCCUUUUCCUGCAUUACUUUCAACAAAAGAUGUUGCAGUAAAGAGCCCAAAGAUCUGGUGCUGUCCCCCGCUUCUUAUUCACACGCCAUUGCACAACGUGUCGACAGGUGUAACACACACAAACGGGUUACAUAUGCAUUUGAGGAGAAGCUGAUUACAAAGAUCUAGUCUGGUUAAAUAUUACAGUUGAUCUUUCAGUUUCAUUUCUUGGUCAUGGAUGAUUUUGUAAGAAACAAACUGAUUGAAUGGCAGCUAAGUGAGUUGGAGGAACGAUUUGAAGAUAACAAAAUUACAGAGGAAAGCCUUUUCUGUCUUACUGAAAAUGACAUCACUGAGCUAAUCCGUUUAGUUGGUCCAAGGGCAAGAUUCAGAUGCAGACUUGAGCAGUUAAAGGUAAGUCUGGUCAAUAUUUUUACAUUUGGUCUUAAAAAUCUCACAUAUAUAAAUAUGGAGGAGCAGGAGAGUCACAUGCAUCAAAACUAUUUUGUGGUUUAAUAAUAAAUUGUGCAACAAAACAAACAUUAGUAAAUUUAUUUCCAAAGUUAUGUUUUAUCUUUCUUUUAGGCCCAAAAUGUGUCAUUGGAUACUAUCUGUAAUAAAUGGGAAUUUCUGCAAUAUAAAAACAACCCAUUUUCAAUAUAGUUAAAUUAAAAAUGUUUAAAGAAAAAAACAAAGAAAGCUUUAUUGUUACAAGAAAUUAGUAAAUUCUGUGACAAAAUUGUAUAAAAU
This 866-nucleotide long non-coding RNA is filed under the name Oreochromis niloticus (Nile tilapia). Its description in RNAcentral is "lncRNA (ENSONIG00000023506.2)". The record is from RNAcentral. Lineage: Eukaryota; Metazoa; Chordata; Actinopteri; Cichliformes; Cichlidae.